RNAcentral lists this ribosomal RNA (712 nucleotides) under Dinophysis cf. acuminata. RNAcentral's name for it is "LSU rRNA". It matches the Rfam family "Eukaryotic large subunit ribosomal RNA", at positions 36 to 661 of the family's 3401-position model. Lineage: Eukaryota; Dinophyceae; Dinophysales; Dinophysaceae. RNAcentral also lists the same sequence under 1 other name. The record is from RNAcentral.
AAGCAUAUAAGUAAGCGGAGGACAAGAAACUAAACAGGAUCCCCAUAGUAAUGGCGAAUGAACCGGGAUAAACUCAGCAUGGAAAUUGGGGCCUUUGGCUUUGACUUGUAAUCUGGUGAGGCAUUGCCAACAGAGGCGCAUAUGUAAGUCUCUUGGAAAAGAGCAUCAACGAAGGUGAGAGUCCUGAUUGUCAUGUGCAGCCCCCCUGUGCACGGUGUGCCUUCUAAGAGUCACGUUCCUUGGGAUUGGAGCGCAAAUUGGGUGGUAACUUUCAUCUGAAGUUAAACAAUGGUUUGGGACCGAUAGGAAACAAGUACCAUGAGGGAAAGGUGAAAAGGACUUUGGAAAGAGAGUUAAAAGUGCCUGAAAUUGCUGAAGGGGAAGCGAAUGGAACCAGUAGUGCUGGGUGAGAUUGUCACAUGCUACAAGGAUUGGUUGCUGCCACAACGCAAGUGUGAUGGCGAUGUGUGAAUUGCUAGUGUGUGGUGUGUCUUACCUAGUGGGUCAUUGUGGGUUUAUGCAUUAAGAUAAGUCAAAGCAAGCGGGAGCAAGUUUACGAGUUUGUGAAUGUGUGUUGUUAUGCUUGUGCGUAAGCUUUAGUGUUUGUCUGGCUGCAGGGCUGUCCAUCCUCAAGCAGGACUUGUGGUUGCGAUGAGCAUAACCUUCUGCACAGAUCUUGACGAAAUGGUUUCAUUCGACCCGUCUUGAACCC